Molecule: RNase P RNA, 319 nt
Filed under: bovine gut metagenome
Description: Bacterial RNase P class B
Rfam family: Bacterial RNase P class B
About the family: Ribonuclease P (RNase P) is a ubiquitous endoribonuclease, found in archaea, bacteria and eukarya as well as chloroplasts and mitochondria. Its best characterised activity is the generation of mature 5'-ends of tRNAs by cleaving the 5'-leader elements of precursor-tRNAs.
Source: RNAcentral
GUUGAUCGCUAUUGACAAAAUAGAGGAAACUCCAUGCUUGCACAAGGUGUUAAUCUUGUAGUGUUUGUGUAUAGAUUAAUUUCUAUAGCGCUCCCAAGUGACGGAAAGUCUAAUCUAAGGUAAUAAUUACUAUGAUGAAGCUUUAAUAGUACCACAGAGACGAGUUAAUUAGAAAUGAUUAAAUGAAACGCGGUAAACCCCACAAGCAAGAAACCUAAAUUAAGGUAAGGGAAUUUUUAAAUUUGAAUUGAAAAAUUUAAAAAAUAAAGUAAAAAUACUUUAUAGAUAAAUGAUCAACUUAAACAGAACAUGGGUUAUA